Molecule: unclassified non-coding RNA, 240 nt
Filed under: plant metagenome
Description: partial contains small subunit ribosomal RNA, internal transcribed spacer 1, and 5.8S ribosomal RNA
Source: RNAcentral
UUUCCGUAGGUGAACCUGCGGAAGGAUCAUGACAAUAAGUGUUUUAUGGCACUAUUUAUACAAUCCGUAUUUACAUUGUGUGCAACGUUAUGAGACCCCCUAUCGUUAUCUUUUAGGUUACGGAAGGGCGAACCUCUACAACUUACCAACAUAACCUAUAACUUACUUGUCUGAGCAAUUGUUAUCACGAAUUAACUUAAUUCGAAAAUACAACUUUCAACAACGGAUCUCUUGGCUCUC